This 253-nucleotide ribosomal RNA is filed under the name uncultured bacterium. RNAcentral's name for it is "partial 16S ribosomal RNA". It matches the Rfam family "Bacterial small subunit ribosomal RNA", at positions 524 to 776 of the family's 1533-position model. The record is from RNAcentral.
UACGUAGGUGGCGAGCGUUGUCCGGAAUUACUGGGCGUAAAGCGUGCGCAGGCGGUUUGCUAAGACAGGUGUGAAAUCCCCGGGCUUAACCUGGGAACUGCGCUUGUUACUGGCAAGCUGGAGUGUGGCAGAGGGGGGUGGAAUUCCACGUGUAGCAGUGAAAUGCGUAGAGAUGUGGAGGAACACCGAUGGCGAAGGCAGCCCCCUGGGCUAACACUGACGCUCAUGCACGAAAGCGUGGGGAGCAAACAGG